AACGAACGCUGGCGGCAUGCCUAACACAUGCAAGUCGAACGAGACCUUCGGGUCUAGUGGCGCACGGGUGCGUAACGCGUGGGAACCUGCCCUUAGGUUCGGAAUAACUCCCCGAAAGGGUGCUAAUACCGGAUAAUGUCUUCGGACCAAAGAUUUAUCGCCUUUGGAUGGGCCCGCGUUGGAUUAGCUAGUUGGUAGGGUAAAAGCCUACCAAGGCGACGAUCCAUAACUGGUCUGAGAGGAUGAUCAGCCACACUGGGACUGAGACACGGCCCAGACUCCUACGGGAGGCAGCAGUGGGGAAUAUUGGACAAUGGGCGAAAGCCUGAUCCAGCAAUGCCGCGUGAGUGAUGAAGGCCUUAGGGUUGUAAAGCUCUUUUACCCGGGAUGAUAAUGACAGUACCGGGAGAAUAAGCUCCGGCUAACUCCGUG
RNAcentral lists this ribosomal RNA (432 nucleotides) under uncultured bacterium. RNAcentral describes it as "partial 16S ribosomal RNA". It matches the Rfam family "Bacterial small subunit ribosomal RNA", at positions 29 to 507 of the family's 1533-position model. The record is from RNAcentral.